This is a long non-coding RNA of Syngnathus acus (greater pipefish), 1255 nucleotides long. RefSeq lists it as uncharacterized. The record is from RefSeq and is a predicted model, not a curated record. Lineage: Eukaryota; Metazoa; Chordata; Actinopteri; Syngnathiformes; Syngnathidae. The transcript is spliced from 3 exons.
ACAAUCAUAAAAACGUGACGCUGUGAGAUUCAAAUUACCCGACUUCCUUUCACCAAAACUGCUAAUUUCUUUUUUUGAACCAAUUUGUCUCAAAACUCCAAAAUUAUCUUUUGAUUUUCCAGGUCUUUUUCUCCACCGGCCCAGAGCGCUGCUAUGAACUUUCCAGAACUGAAGAAGCCCCAAGAACGAUGUCGAAAUGAUGACCCAAUGACCUCUCCAGUGCAAUUUCGCAACCUUGGCGUGAAUGCAUGGAAAAUACAUCCCGCCUUCUAAGAACCACAUUUGACAUCCUAUUGAGAGUGGCGUGACCCACAUAAGUGCCGACAUGUUCCCCUUUGGUGUGCGGCUUGGCCGUUCCUCGCAGCGCCGGCGAGCGCCCCCCCUUCCAAUCCCAGCCUCUGAUCUCUGACACCCGCCAGCUGUCACGUAUCUGAGAGGACGUGAGUCACUUUUGGGAACUGAAUCUGAAGCGACUUCAGGUAGGGUCCAGCCAAAGUCAUCUUGAGAAAACGCACACUCGUGUCAUGUCCGUUGAGCAUCAGAUUACGCAACUGUUUAUUGAGUCGGCCUUUUCAAACGAGGCCUUGACCGAAACAUGGAUAACACAAAUGUCUUAGACACCUCGUACGUUCGCUCACGUCAAAUGUCACGUAGCGCCGCAUGAAACAUACGUCACCUGGUCCUCCAAUGACCAGCGAGAUAUUUGUCACCUUCCCGCACACACGUACGACUCUUUGCAGCCUUGCCGCGUCAUGUGUCUCCCUUCACUGUAUUAAUACACGCAGGGAGAUGCCAGCCAACCAAAAGCUUGCACCUUAUGUCAUCUCUCGCUCUCUCAUACACAGACAACCACUUCGAUCUAUAUUUUUCUUAACCAUAAAUCACUUUCUUGCUAUGUCAUGCUACUAUUCAAUGAUGUUGACGUUUAUGGGUGUGCUAACACAACAAUGUUUUACCUGACUGGUUUUACACAAAUCCUGCUUUGUCCUUUCUUGUGAUAACUACUCAUGAUUCAUCACAUGAUUCUAUUGGUUAUUGUAUAGUACUCAGAACUGAAUGUGUUCCUGGUAAGAGCAAUUGUAAAUAGCUUCUGGGCUCGUCCUUGAGGAGAGCUCCGAUAUCUGAAUGUAGUAAGGAGGCGACUCGUUGACUCGUAGGCCCUCGAGGCAAAAAAUGCAAACGGUGGUCGCUAUUUAUUCGGUUCAUUUACGCCAGGGGUGUCAAAUUCAUUUUUUUCGCGGGCCGCAGCGUAGUC